Long non-coding RNA from Zea mays, 854 nucleotides. RefSeq lists it as uncharacterized. The transcript is spliced from 2 exons. Lineage: Eukaryota; Viridiplantae; Streptophyta; Magnoliopsida; Poales; Poaceae. The record is from RefSeq and is a predicted model, not a curated record.
UUCCUGCCCCCGCGGCCACCUCCCGCGCCUGCUGCACGGCACUCCCGUCCCCGAUCACUCUGGCUGCAGCAGCAGCGGGCGACACGGCUACCCCCCCAGCACCAGCUCCGCGGAGCUUGUAGUAGGAUAGCACCCCAUCCUCGAGCACGAACCACCGCGACCGCCACCCCUUCCCAUAGUUGACCCACUUGUGCAGCACCCCCACAACCGCAUCCUGCUUUGGGGCCGGCGUCGCCGGCGGUGCACCAGCGAGGAUGCGCUGCGGGUGCUCGUGGAGCUGAUCCGCAGCGUGCUCGAGCGAGACCGGCGCGAUGCAGCAUAACGGGUUCAUCGCGACGCAGCCACCAGCCCGCACGAUGUGGAUCGGGGGAGCCCGCUCCCCACUCAGGAGGCAGAUGCCGCCUUGUGGCCUCGCUCGCGCCCGCCGCCUAGGUUUCGCACAACCAUGGAGAUCGGCGCCGCAUCGGCUGCGCGCAGGACAUAGCAGCAGCAGCGAAGUGGCUGUCGGAGUACUGGGCGGCGCAGUACCGUGGAGUACUGGCGUUGGCGGUGUGUUUUGAUGGCGACAAGGUGGAUUUUAGGUUACCAUGAACAUGAAGCUCUCCUCUAAGAAAAUGAAGAAGAUGCUGGAUUUCAAAGUGCAAUGCCGUAAAAUAGGUGCCCAGUUGGCACACUUGGCACAAUUGACAUAGUCCAUAGUUGGCAAAGUGAAAUACCGCUCAAUGGUUUUGCAUUAAAGAAUCCAUUACCCACUACCAUGUAUAAUUUUUCCAAUGUUGUAAGUGGAUCACCCUACAUCAUACAUAGGGAAUGAACAUACAACAUUAUCUAAUGCUACAAGUUUCAUUAGUGCG